UACAGAGGUCCCAAGCGUUGUUCGGAUUCAUUGGGCGUAAAGGGUGCGUAGGUGGCCUGGUAAGUCGGGUGUGAGAUCCCGGGGCUCAACCCCGGAACUGCACUCGAUACUGUCGUGCUCGAGUACUGGAGAGGAGACUGGAAUUUACGGUGUAGCAGUGAAAUGCGUAGAUAUCGUAAGGAAGACCGGUGGCGAAGGCUAGUCUCUGGACAGUUACUGACACUGAGGCACGAAGGCCAGGGGAGCAAACGGG
Molecule: ribosomal RNA, 253 nt
Filed under: uncultured bacterium
Lineage: Bacteria
Description: partial 16S ribosomal RNA
Rfam family: Bacterial small subunit ribosomal RNA
Source: RNAcentral